UUUACAAGUAAAUUUACAAAUGCAUUAAGAACAUUUCCCUGUCCGCCUGUUAGUGUUUAUUUCUUCCCCUUCUCCUCCUGGGAGCCAACACCUCCCAGCCCUCACCUUUCACACGCUGCUCUCCCUUCCUUGCCUCCAUCCCUCCCGUCGCCCCUUUCCCUCCUCCUCCUCCUUUCCCAGCUCAGCAGCGGAGAUUUCUGUUUGUGCCAGUGGGGCGGCCUGGCGAGACCGCAAUUGCUCUACCCCACAGAUUGACGAGCCCUCAGAUGCCGAUUUACUGUACAUGGCAGCCACGCUGGAGCCGAGGCACAUCUGGAGUGGAGUAAGCUUACUCAGAAACAGGGGCCAGCUCCAGCCGGAGCCAGCGGAGCCGAGCGCGGCACUUGAAGGCAGCCCUCCUGCCUCCCUUCCCUCUCCCCGGAUCCUACUAGGAGAGGGCCAACAUUUAUCUUGAACAACCUUAACUAAGUCUUGACCUUCCCAGUCAGAGAACCACUGGGCAUUACUUCCCUAUGGCUGCUUGAAACCAUUCACAAGGUGAAAAUCACAGAAUCACAGAAUUGUAAGGGCUGGAAGAGACCUCCAGAAAUCAUGGAGUGCAGCCCCCCUGCAAAGCAGACUGCCUACAGCAGGCUGCACAGUUGGAUUUUGGCUGAGAUCUUCUAGAUGCCUGCAGGGCUCCAGAGGUCUCCUGUCUGGCUG
Long non-coding RNA from Gallus gallus (chicken), 702 nucleotides. The record is from Ensembl. Lineage: Eukaryota; Metazoa; Chordata; Aves; Galliformes; Phasianidae.